AGUCAUAUGCUUGUCUCAAAGAUUAAGCCAUGCAUGUCUCAGUACAAGCCAAAUUAAGGUGAAACCGCGAAAGGCUCAUUAAAUCAGUUAUGGUUCCUUAGAUCGUACCCACAUUUACUUGGAUAACUGUGGUAAUUCUAGAGCUAAUACAUGCCAACAGAACUCCGACCGGAGACGGAAGGAGUGCCUUUAUUAGAUCAAAACCAAUCGGUGGCGCGGCCUCGGUCGUGUCAUCGUACAACAUGGUGAAUCUGAAUAACGUUUGCUGAUCGCACGGUCUCGCACCGGCGACGCAUCUUUCAAAUGUCUGCCUUAUCAACUGUCGAUGGUAGGUUCUGCGCCUACCAUGGUUGUAACGGGUAACGGGGAAUCAGGGUUCGAUUCCGGAGAGGGAGCCUGAGAAAC
RNAcentral lists this ribosomal RNA (405 nucleotides) under Speonomites aurouxi. RNAcentral's name for it is "SSU rRNA". It matches the Rfam family "Eukaryotic small subunit ribosomal RNA", at positions 22 to 404 of the family's 1831-position model. Lineage: Eukaryota; Metazoa; Arthropoda; Insecta; Coleoptera; Leiodidae. The record is from RNAcentral.